RNAcentral lists this unclassified non-coding RNA (232 nucleotides) under Hevea brasiliensis (rubber tree). Lineage: Eukaryota; Viridiplantae; Streptophyta; Magnoliopsida; Malpighiales; Euphorbiaceae. The record is from RNAcentral.
CAAGCCUGAUACACAGGAGUUCUGCUGAGUUAGCUCCAACAGCGACGACAAGUCCGAUCUUUCAAUGGGCCUGUUGUGGAUGAUACCUUGAAUUAUACAUGGCUGAGGGUUUGAUUUGAUCCGACAUAAUUAAUGGAAUUAGGGAAUACUUAAGGGCAUCAUGUUGUGUUAUUUUUAUUGCCAUUAAAUUAUGUUGUGAAAGUUGGUGUGAUACAAAUGUUUUUGUAUAGAG